AGGGCAAGUCUGGUGCCAGCAGCCGCGGUAAUUCCAGCUCCAAUAGCGUAUAUUAAAGUUGUUGCAGUUAAAAAGCUCGUAGUUGAAUUUCAGGAUCAAUUUAUUGGUCGUGCCAACGGUACGCACUGGUACAAUUGGUUUCUCCCUUCUGACGAAGCAUGAUGUCAUUAAUUUGAUGUCGUGGGGAAUCAGGACUGUUACUUUGAAAAAAUUAGAGUGUUUAAAGCAGGCUUUGGCUUGAAUACAUUAGCAUGGAAUAAUGAAAUAGGACGUUUGAUCUUAUUUCGUUGGUUUCUAAGAUCGACGUAAUGAUUAAUAGGGAUAGUUGGGGGCAUUAGUAUUCAAUUGUCAGAGGUGAAAUUCUUGGAUUUAUUGAAGACUAACUACUGCGAAAGCAUUUGCCAAGGAUGUUUUCAUUAAUCAAGAACGAAAGUUAGGGGAUCGAAGACGAUCAGAUACCGUCGUAGUCUUAACCAUAAACUAUGCCGACUAGGGAUCGGAUGAUGUUAAUUUUUUAAUGACUCAUUCGGCGCCUUACGGGAAAC
RNAcentral lists this ribosomal RNA (545 nucleotides) under uncultured Glomeromycotina. RNAcentral describes it as "SSU rRNA". It matches the Rfam family "Eukaryotic small subunit ribosomal RNA", at positions 552 to 1098 of the family's 1831-position model. Lineage: Eukaryota; Fungi; Glomeromycota. The record is from RNAcentral.